RNAcentral lists this ribosomal RNA (440 nucleotides) under uncultured bacterium. Its description in RNAcentral is "partial 16S ribosomal RNA". It matches the Rfam family "Bacterial small subunit ribosomal RNA", at positions 338 to 795 of the family's 1533-position model. The record is from RNAcentral.
CCUACGGGUGGCAGCAGUGAGGGAUAUUGGUCAAUGGGGGAAACCCUGAACCAGCAACGCCGCGUGAGGGAAGACGGUUUUCGGAUUGUAAACCUCUGUCCGCUGGGAAGAUAAUGACGGUAGCCGAGGAGGAAGCUCCGGCUAACUACGUGCCAGCAGCCGCGGUAAUACGUAGGGAGCAAGCGUUGUCCGGAUUUACUGGGUGUAAAGGGUGCGUAGGCGGCUUUGCAAGUCAGGAGGGAAAUCCAUGGGCUUAACCCAUGAACUGCUUUUGAAACUGCAGAGCUUGAGUGGAGGAGAGGUAGGCGGAAUGCGUGGUGUAGCGGUGAAAUGCGUAGAGAUCAGGAGGAACACCAGUGGCGAAGGCGGCCUACUGGGCUCUAACUGACGCUGAGGCACGAAAGCGUGGGUAGCAAACAGGAUUAGAUACCCGUGUAGUC